Molecule: ribosomal RNA, 863 nt
Filed under: uncultured archaeon
Lineage: Archaea
Description: bacterial SSU rRNA
Rfam family: Archaeal small subunit ribosomal RNA
Source: RNAcentral
ACCCGACUGCUAUCGGAUUGGGAUUUAGCCAUGUUAGUUGUGCGUUCCUUGGCUACAGGGGACGCAGCGUACGGCUCAGUAACACGUAGUCAACCUGCCCUGGAGACGUGGACAAACCCGGGAAACUGGGGCCUAUCCGCGAUAGAUGACCACAUCUGGAAGGAGUGGUCGUCCAAAGGGCGGCACGGGUAUGCUCCGUGCCUUUCGCUCCAGGAUGGGACUGCGGCCGAUCAGGCUGUUGGCGGGGUAAUGGCCCACCAAACCUGUAACCGGUACGGGCUUUGAGAGAAGGAGCCCGGAGAUGGACACUGAGACAAGGGUCCAGGCCCUACGGGGCGCAUCAGGCGCGAAAACUUCGCAAUGCGCGAAAGCGUGACGAGGCUAGUCCGAGUGCUUCCUGCUAAAGGGAGCUUUUCUCGGCUGUAAAUAGGCCGGGGAAUAAGGGGAGGGCAAGUCUGGUGUCAGCCGCCGCGGUAAUACCAGCUCCUCGAGUGGUCGGGACGAUUAUUGGGCCUAAAGCACCCGUAGCCUGUUCUGUAAGUCCUCUGUUAAAUCCAGUCGCUCAACGGCUGGCCCGCAGAGGAUACUGCAAGACUAGGAGGCGGGAGAGGCGGACGGUACUCCGCGUGUAGGGGUAAAAUCCUUUGAUCCGCGGAAGACCACCAGUGGCGAAGGCGGUCCGCCAGAACGCGCUCGACGGUGAGGGGUGAAAGCUGGGGGAGCGAACCGGAUUAGAUACCCGGGUAGUCCCAGCCGUAAACGAUGCGAGCUAGAUGAUUCGUUCGCAGUUCGCGAACGAAGUGUCGCAGGAAGCCGUUAAGCUCGCCGCCUGGGGAGUACGGUCGCAAGGCUGAAUCGUAGAG